AAAUAGUGUGACUUCCACACCCACACACAUCGUUUAACACUCGUACAAGCACCGGAUAAACAUGGUUAACAGUCCGGAAAACAUUGUUAAUAUAUUUGAUAACAUUUCGAAUUCAAAUUUUAGUUGUCAGAAUCUUUUCUUCUUUUUUACAAUUUAACCACUAUUUUAGAUUAAGGGAAGUACUGGCACUCACAAUUACGUUAAACC
This 207-nucleotide long non-coding RNA is filed under the name Mytilus galloprovincialis (Mediterranean mussel). The record is from RNAcentral. Lineage: Eukaryota; Metazoa; Mollusca; Bivalvia; Mytilida; Mytilidae.